CCCUGCGGGGGAGAGGGAAGGGGGCGCCCUCUCGAGGCAGCACCCGGCCGGGGGACGAAGACAAGAGGUCUCCAUCUCAGCAUCUGGACUCAGCCACCAUGGUGCCUGUGAAAAAGCUUGUGGUGAAGGUGGGCAAGAAAAAAAGAAGCAGGUCCUGAAGUUUCCUCUUGACUGUACCCAUCCUGAGAAGACGGACUCAUGGAUGCUGCCAGUUUUGAGCAGUUACUUCAAGAGACAAAGUGAAAGGAAAAACUGGGAAUCUUGGGGAAGGGGCAGUGACAAUCAAAAGAAGAGUAAGCAAAAUUACUGCAACUUCUGUGGUGCCUUUUUCCAAAGGUAUUUGAAAUAUCUCACCAAAAAAAUAUUUGUAGAAGAAUAAUCCAUGUGAUUGGUUGCAUGGAGUUGCUAACAGCAAAGAAAGUUACCAAUUGAA
RNAcentral lists this long non-coding RNA (433 nucleotides) under Bos indicus x Bos taurus (hybrid cattle). RNAcentral describes it as "lncRNA (ENSBIXG00000020324.1)". The record is from RNAcentral. Lineage: Eukaryota; Metazoa; Chordata; Mammalia; Artiodactyla; Bovidae.